GACGAACGCUGGCGGCGUGCUUAACACAUGCAAGUCGAACGGAAAGGCCCUGCUUUCGUGCGCUUCUCGAGUGGCGAUGGGGUGCGUAACACGUGAGUAACCUGCCCUUGUCUUUCGGAUAACUUCACGAAACUGAGCUUAAUCUCGUAUAGGAUCCCCUGUUCCAUUGUGGGCGUGGGAUCUUUUCGGCGGUUGGGGUUGGACUCGCGGCUUAUCGGUUUGCUAGUUGGGUAGUGGCUUACCAAGGCUUGGGCGGGUAGCCGGCCUGAGAGGGGGAACGGCCACAAUGGGACUGAGAGACGGCGCAGAGUCGUACGGGAGGCAGUAGGGGGGAGUAUUGUACAAUGGGCGCAAGCGUGAUGCAGAGACGCCGGGUGCGGGAUGACGGCCUUCGGGGUGUAAACAGCUGUAGGCUGUGACGAAGCGGGAGUGACGGUAAUGGAUAAAGAAGCACCGGCUAACUACGUG
RNAcentral lists this ribosomal RNA (468 nucleotides) under uncultured bacterium. RNAcentral's name for it is "partial 16S ribosomal RNA". It matches the Rfam family "Bacterial small subunit ribosomal RNA", at positions 28 to 507 of the family's 1533-position model. The record is from RNAcentral.